GUCAUGUAAAUCCAGUGGUUUGAUGUUGGACUACAACUCUGGAGACAAGGGUUCAAUUCCCCACUUGAACA
Molecule: non-coding RNA, 71 nt
Organism: Phrynosoma platyrhinos (Desert horned lizard)
Lineage: Eukaryota; Metazoa; Chordata; Lepidosauria; Squamata; Phrynosomatidae
Source: the annotation of a GenBank genome assembly